Molecule: long non-coding RNA, 249 nt
Organism: Sinocyclocheilus rhinocerous
Lineage: Eukaryota; Metazoa; Chordata; Actinopteri; Cypriniformes; Cyprinidae
Exons: 3
Source: RefSeq, a predicted model, not a curated record
UCCGAGUCAAGCAGCGAGAGCGAUUCGGACGAUGACCGAAGCAAAGAGGAGAGACUUUAUGACAAGGCCAAGAGACGCAUAGAGAAACGAAGGCAGGAAAACCUGAAGAACAUUAAUUUUGGCAAGCUCCGAUCUCCUGUGGUUUGUGUACUGGGUCAUGUAGACACAGGGAAGACCAAAAUCCUGGAUAAGCUGAGACACACACAUGUUCAGGAUGGUGAGGCUGGUGGGAUCACACAGCAGAUCGGA